RNAcentral lists this ribosomal RNA (440 nucleotides) under uncultured bacterium. Its description in RNAcentral is "partial 16S ribosomal RNA". It matches the Rfam family "Bacterial small subunit ribosomal RNA", at positions 338 to 795 of the family's 1533-position model. The record is from RNAcentral.
CCUACGGGGGGCAGCAGUGGGGAAUAUUGCACAAUGGGGGAAACCCUGAUGCAGCGACGCCGCGUGAGUGAAGAAGUAUUUCGGUACGUAAAGCUCUAUCAGCAGGGAAGAAAAUGACGGUACCUGACUAAGAAGCCCCGGCUAACUACGUGCCAGCAGCCGCGGUAAUACGUAGGGGGCAAGCGUUAUCCGGAUUUACUGGGUGUAAAGGGAGCGUAGACGGCCGCGCAAGCCUGGUGUGAAAGCCCAGGGCUUAACCACGGAACUGCAUUGGAAACUGUGAAGCUAGAGUGCCGGAGAGGUAAGCGGAAUUCCUAGUGUAGCGGUGAAAUGCGUAGAUAUUAGGAGGAACACCAGUGGCGAAGGCGGCUUACUGGACUGUAACUGACGUUGAGGCUCGAAAGCGUGGGGAGCAAACAGGAUUAGAUACCCUUGUAGUC